GAUUAGGGAGGACGCUAGCGGCGCCUGAGGCGGCCAUCACCGCGCCUCAGGCCGGGUCCCCGCCGCCAUGUUCUUCACGUGUGGCCCCAACGAGGCCAUGGUGGUGUCGGGCUUCUGCCGCAGCCCCCCCGUCAUGGUGGCCGGGGGCAGGGUGCUGGUGGUGCCGUGCCUGCAGCAGAUCCAAAGGCAGUUUCAGGUCCUUGUCUGCUCAGUACAAGAGGUGUGACAAGAACAGAAUGGAAACCGACCAGGGGGUGGGUAGCACCUGGGACUAGCUGAUGGGCAGGAUGGCAGCAGUUAAACCUAUUGGUAAGUACAAGAACAGGAUGAUGCUAUGUCUGUAAUGUUAAUUAACUGGGAACCACCAUCAUAUUCUGUAUGAAUGUGGGAAACUGUCUGGAAAUGAUGUAAUGUUCCCAGUGACCAUAUAAGGAUGACCUGUAGAGCAAUACGGGACACACGUUAGGAGGAGCUCUCCCCC
Long non-coding RNA from Melopsittacus undulatus (budgerigar), 481 nucleotides. RefSeq lists it as uncharacterized. Lineage: Eukaryota; Metazoa; Chordata; Aves; Psittaciformes; Psittaculidae. The transcript has 3 exons. The record is from RefSeq and is a predicted model, not a curated record.